RNAcentral lists this ribosomal RNA (2901 nucleotides) under Escherichia coli. RNAcentral describes it as "bacterial LSU rRNA". It matches the Rfam family "Bacterial large subunit ribosomal RNA". The record is from RNAcentral. Lineage: Bacteria; Pseudomonadati; Pseudomonadota; Gammaproteobacteria; Enterobacterales; Enterobacteriaceae.
UUAAGCGACUAAGCGUACACGGUGGAUGCCCUGGCAGUCAGAGGCGAUGAAGGACGUGCUAAUCUGCGAUAAGCGUCGGUAAGGUGAUAUGAACCGUUAUAACCGGCGAUUUCCGAAUGGGGAAACCCAGUGUGUUUCGACACACUAUCAUUAACUGAAUCCAUAGGUUAAUGAGGCGAACCGGGGGAACUGAAACAUCUAAGUACCCCGAGGAAAAGAAAUCAACCGAGAUUCCCCCAGUAGCGGCGAGCGAACGGGGAGCAGCCCAGAGCCUGAAUCAGUAUGUGUGUUAGUGGAAGCGUCUGGAAAGGCGCGCGAUACAGGGUGACAGCCCCGUACACAAAAAUGCACAUGCUGUGAGCUCGAUGAGUAGGGCGGGACACGUGGUAUCCUGUCUGAAUAUGGGGGGACCAUCCUCCAAGGCUAAAUACUCCUGACUGACCGAUAGUGAACCAGUACCGUGAGGGAAAGGCGAAAAGAACCCCGGCGAGGGGAGUGAAAAAGAACCUGAAACCGUGUACGUACAAGCAGUGGGAGCACGCUUAGGCGUGUGACUGCGUACCUUUUGUAUAAUGGGUCAGCGACUUAUAUUCUGUAGCAAGGUUAACCGAAUAGGGGAGCCGAAGGGAAACCGAGUCUUAACUGGGCGUUAAGUUGCAGGGUAUAGACCCGAAACCCGGUGAUCUAGCCAUGGGCAGGUUGAAGGUUGGGUAACACUAACUGGAGGACCGAACCGACUAAUGUUGAAAAAUUAGCGGAUGACUUGUGGCUGGGGGUGAAAGGCCAAUCAAACCGGGAGAUAGCUGGUUCUCCCCGAAAGCUAUUUAGGUAGCGCCUCGUGAAUUCAUCUCCGGGGGUAGAGCACUGUUUCGGCAAGGGGGUCAUCCCGACUUACCAACCCGAUGCAAACUGCGAAUACCGGAGAAUGUUAUCACGGGAGACACACGGCGGGUGCUAACGUCCGUCGUGAAGAGGGAAACAACCCAGACCGCCAGCUAAGGUCCCAAAGUCAUGGUUAAGUGGGAAACGAUGUGGGAAGGCCCAGACAGCCAGGAUGUUGGCUUAGAAGCAGCCAUCAUUUAAAGAAAGCGUAAUAGCUCACUGGUCGAGUCGGCCUGCGCGGAAGAUGUAACGGGGCUAAACCAUGCACCGAAGCUGCGGCAGCGACACUAUGUGUUGUUGGGUAGGGGAGCGUUCUGUAAGCCUGUGAAGGUGUGCUGUGAGGCAUGCUGGAGGUAUCAGAAGUGCGAAUGCUGACAUAAGUAACGAUAAAGCGGGUGAAAAGCCCGCUCGCCGGAAGACCAAGGGUUCCUGUCCAACGUUAAUCGGGGCAGGGUGAGUCGACCCCUAAGGCGAGGCCGAAAGGCGUAGUCGAUGGGAAACAGGUUAAUAUUCCUGUACUUGGUGUUACUGCGAAGGGGGGACGGAGAAGGCUAUGUUGGCCGGGCGACGGUUGUCCCGGUUUAAGCGUGUAGGCUGGUUUUCCAGGCAAAUCCGGAAAAUCAAGGCUGAGGCGUGAUGACGAGGCACUACGGUGCUGAAGCAACAAAUGCCCUGCUUCCAGGAAAAGCCUCUAAGCAUCAGGUAACAUCAAAUCGUACCCCAAACCGACACAGGUGGUCAGGUAGAGAAUACCAAGGCGCUUGAGAGAACUCGGGUGAAGGAACUAGGCAAAAUGGUGCCGUAACUUCGGGAGAAGGCACGCUGAUAUGUAGGUGAAGUCCCUUGCGGAUGGAGCUGAAAUCAGUCGAAGAUACCAGCUGGCUGCAACUGUUUAUUAAAAACACAGCACUGUGCAAACACGAAAGUGGACGUAUACGGUGUGACGCCUGCCCGGUGCCGGAAGGUUAAUUGAUGGGGUCAGCGCAAGCGAAGCUCUUGAUCGAAGCCCCGGUAAACGGCGGCCGUAACUAUAACGGUCCUAAGGUAGCGAAAUUCCUUGUCGGGUAAGUUCCGACCUGCACGAAUGGCGUAAUGAUGGCCAGGCUGUCUCCACCCGAGACUCAGUGAAAUUGAACUCGCUGUGAAGAUGCAGUGUACCCGCGGCAAGACGGAAAGACCCCGUGAACCUUUACUAUAGCUUGACACUGAACAUUGAGCCUUGAUGUGUAGGAUAGGUGGGAGGCUUUGAAGUGUGGACGCCAGUCUGCAUGGAGCCGACCUUGAAAUACCACCCUUUAAUGUUUGAUGUUCUAACGUUGACCCGUAAUCCGGGUUGCGGACAGUGUCUGGUGGGUAGUUUGACUGGGGCGGUCUCCUCCUAAAGAGUAACGGAGGAGCACGAAGGUUGGCUAAUCCUGGUCGGACAUCAGGAGGUUAGUGCAAUGGCAUAAGCCAGCUUGACUGCGAGCGUGACGGCGCGAGCAGGUGCGAAAGCAGGUCAUAGUGAUCCGGUGGUUCUGAAUGGAAGGGCCAUCGCUCAACGGAUAAAAGGUACUCCGGGGAUAACAGGCUGAUACCGCCCAAGAGUUCAUAUCGACGGCGGUGUUUGGCACCUCGAUGUCGGCUCAUCACAUCCUGGGGCUGAAGUAGGUCCCAAGGGUAUGGCUGUUCGCCAUUUAAAGUGGUACGCGAGCUGGGUUUAGAACGUCGUGAGACAGUUCGGUCCCUAUCUGCCGUGGGCGCUGGAGAACUGAGGGGGGCUGCUCCUAGUACGAGAGGACCGGAGUGGACGCAUCACUGGUGUUCGGGUUGUCAUGCCAAUGGCACUGCCCGGUAGCUAAAUGCGGAAGAGAUAAGUGCUGAAAGCAUCUAAGCACGAAACUUGCCCCGAGAUGAGUUCUCCCUGACUCCUUGAGAGUCCUGAAGGAACGUUGAAGACGACGACGUUGAUAGGCCGGGUGUGUAAGCGCAGCGAUGCGUUGAGCUAACCGGUACUAAUGAACCGUGAGGCUUAACCUU